UAAAUACUUAUUUUCUCUAUUAUUUGAGCAUCUUUUGGUUGCAAGUAACAAUAAUUGACUAUGUCUCAAGCAAAGACAGGAAAGAUAAGAGAAGUGUCAGAAAAUUCAGGAAUCGGAAGAGCAAUGAGGACACCGCAGCAAGGAUUUUUCUCUGCAGCACAGAUGUGUUCAGACACAGUGCGGACCAGGUGGAGACCCAUCCACGAGGCUCACCGUGGCCAAGGGGUAGAUGGUGUGGUGGACACUGAGCUGCUGGAGUCUGUUGUGGACAGUCAGGUGGGUGGGGAGUCACUGAAAUUCUUUGACAAAAUGGAAGAAUGUGAGGG
Molecule: long non-coding RNA, 326 nt
Filed under: Homo sapiens (human)
Lineage: Eukaryota; Metazoa; Chordata; Mammalia; Primates; Hominidae
Description: HSALNT0206935
Source: RNAcentral